This 480-nucleotide ribosomal RNA is filed under the name uncultured bacterium. Its description in RNAcentral is "partial 16S ribosomal RNA". It matches the Rfam family "Bacterial small subunit ribosomal RNA", at positions 28 to 504 of the family's 1533-position model. The record is from RNAcentral.
GACGAACGCUGGCGGCGUGCUUAACACAUGCAAGUCGAACGCUGAAGCUCAGCUUUUGUUGGGUGGAUGAGUGGCGAACGGGUGAGUAACACGUGAGUAACCUGCCUCCUUCUUUGGGAUAACGCCCGGAAACGGGUGCUAAUACUGGAUAUUCACUGGUCUUCGCAUGGGGGUUGGUGGAAAGGGUUUUUCUGGUGGGGGAUGGGCUCGCGGCCUAUCAGCUUGUUGGUGGGGUGAUGGCCUACCGAGGCUUUGACGGGUAGCCGGCCUGGGAGGGUGACCGGUUGCAUUGGGACUGAGAUACGGCCCAGACUCCUACGGGGGGCAGCAGUGGGGAUUAUUGCACACUGGGCGCAAGCCUGAUGCGGCGACGCCGCGUGAGGGAUGGAGGCCUUCGGGUUGUGUACCUCUUGCGCUCAUGGUCAAGCCGCAACAAUGGUUGUGGUGAGGGUAGUGGGUAAAGAAGCGCCGGCUAACUAC